Molecule: unclassified non-coding RNA, 331 nt
Filed under: soil metagenome
Description: partial contains 5.8S ribosomal RNA, internal transcribed spacer 2, and large subunit ribosomal RNA
Rfam family: 5.8S ribosomal RNA (bases 1-120)
Source: RNAcentral
GAUGAAGAACGCAGCGAAAUGCGAUAAGUAAUGUGAAUUGCAGAAUUCAGUGAAUCAUCGAAUCUUUGAACGCACAUUGCGCCCGCCAGUAUUCUGGCGGGCAUGCCUGUUCGAGCGUCAUUUCAACCCUCAAGCACAGCUUGGUGUUGGGACUCGCGUUAAUUCGCGUUCCUCAAAUUGAUUGGCGGUCACGUCGAGCUUCCAUAGCGUAGUAGUAAAACCCUCGUUACUGGUAAUCGUCGCGGCCACGCCGUUAAACCCCAACUUCUGAAUGUUGACCUCGGAUCAGGUAGGAAUACCCGCUGAACUUAAGCAUAUCAAUAGCGGAGGA